RNAcentral lists this non-coding RNA (160 nucleotides) under Pseudomonas lutea. RNAcentral describes it as "FMN sequence". It matches the Rfam family "FMN riboswitch aptamer (RFN element)". From Rfam's summary of the family: The RFN element is a highly conserved domain that is found frequently in the 5'-untranslated regions of prokaryotic mRNAs that encode for flavin mononucleotide (FMN) biosynthesis and transport proteins. This element is a metabolite-dependent riboswitch that directly binds FMN in the absence of proteins. Lineage: Bacteria; Pseudomonadati; Pseudomonadota; Gammaproteobacteria; Pseudomonadales; Pseudomonadaceae. The record is from RNAcentral.
CAACGUUCUCAGGGCGGGGUGCGAUUCCCCACCGGCGGUAAUGGCGCGCAAUGCGUCUAGCCCGCGAGCGCUUGCAGCGACUUCAGCGUCGAUGCAAGGACAGCAGACCCGGUGUGAUUCCGGGGCCGACGGUCAUAGUCCGGAUGAAGAGAGAACGGGA